This 497-nucleotide ribosomal RNA is filed under the name uncultured bacterium. RNAcentral's name for it is "partial 16S ribosomal RNA". It matches the Rfam family "Bacterial small subunit ribosomal RNA", at positions 28 to 507 of the family's 1533-position model. The record is from RNAcentral.
GAUGAACGCUGGCGGCGUGCCUAAUACAUGCAAGUCGAGCGAACAGACGAGGAGCUUGCUCCUCUGACGUUAGCGGCGGACGGGUGAGUAACACGUGGAUAACCUACCUAUAAGACUGGGAUAACUUCGGGAAACCGGAGCUAAUACCGGAUAAUAUAUUGAACCGCAUGGUUCAAUAGUGAAAGACGGUUUUGCUGUCACUUAUAGAUGGAUCCGCGCCGCAUUAGCUAGUUGGUAAGGUAGCGGCUUACCAAGGCGACGAUGCGUAGCCGACCUGAGAGGGUGAACGGCCACACUGGAACUGAGACACGGUACAGACUCCUACGGGAGGCAGCAGUAGGGAAUCUUCCGCAAUGGGCGAAAGCCUGACGGAGCAACGCCGCGUGAGUGAUGAAGGUCUUCGGAUCGUAAAACUCUGUUAUUAGGGAAGAACAAAUGUGUAAGUAACUAUGCACGUCUUGACGGUACCUAAUCAGAAAGCCACGGCUAACUACGUG